RNAcentral lists this ribosomal RNA (701 nucleotides) under uncultured Chloroflexus sp. RNAcentral's name for it is "bacterial SSU rRNA". It matches the Rfam family "Bacterial small subunit ribosomal RNA", at positions 8 to 747 of the family's 1533-position model. Lineage: Bacteria; Bacillati; Chloroflexota; Chloroflexia; Chloroflexales; Chloroflexaceae. The record is from RNAcentral.
AGAGUUUGAUCCCGGCUCAGGACGAACGCUGGCGGCGUGCCUAAUGCAUGCAAGUCGAACGCAGCAGGCGUGCCUGGCUGCGUGGCGAACGGCUGAGGAACACGUGGGUCACCUGCCCCGGAGUGGGGGAUACCCCGUCGAAAGACGGGACAAUCCCGCAUACGCUCUAUGGAGGAAAGCCGCAAGGCGCUCUGGGAGGGGCCUGCGGCCCAUCAGGUAGUUGGUGUGGUAACGGCGCACCAAGCCAAUGACGGGUACCCGGUCUGAGAGGACGACCGGGCAGACUGGGACUGAGACACGGCCCAGACUCCUACGGGAGACAGCAGCAAGGAAUUUUCCCCAAUGGGCGCAAGCCUGAGGGAGCAACGCCGCGUGGAGGACGACGGCCUUCGGGUUGUAAACUCCUUUCGGGUGGGACGAUGCUGACGGUACCACCAGAAGCAGCCCCGGCUAACUCUGUGCCAGCAGCCGCGGUAAGACAGAGGGGGCAAGCGUUGUCCGGAGUUACUGGGCGUAAAGGGCGCGCAGGCGGUGGGCUGCGUCGGCGCUGAAAGCGCCCCGCUUAACGGGGCGAGGCGCGCCGAUACGAGUCCACUCGAGGCAAGCAGAGGGUGGCGGAAUUCCGGGUGGAGCGGUGAAAUGCGUAGAGAUCCGGAGGAACGCCGGUGGGGAAGCCGGCCACCUGGGCUUGACCUGACGCU